AUCUACAACCACCCCACCUUGAACGUGCCUGAUCUCAUCUGAACUUGGAAGCUAAGCAGGGUCGGGCCUGGUUACUACUUGGAUGGGGGAAUUGUGAGGCAUUGCUUCAUUGUCUUUC
Molecule: ribosomal RNA, 118 nt
Filed under: Callithrix jacchus (white-tufted-ear marmoset)
Lineage: Eukaryota; Metazoa; Chordata; Mammalia; Primates; Cebidae
Source: RNAcentral